GAGCGAGAGUGCAGAUGGUUGUUAUAGAAUAAGGAUAUCGAGCAUGAUCAUUAUGAAAAAUCACUUGGAUAGCAAUCCACUCGUCAGUGAUUAGUUCGAUGUUGCAUUUAUGUGAUUAGCCCUUUGACUUGAGGUACUUCGAUUGUUCAUGAUGGGGCUAUUAUAAUUUGACUAUACAUACAUUUGGUCCUUGGUCAUAUGGAUCUUUAUGGUAUAUGUUGACUGUAGUAGAUUCAUUAUAGAAAUA
RNAcentral lists this long non-coding RNA (247 nucleotides) under Elaeis guineensis (African oil palm). RNAcentral's name for it is "long non-coding RNA (EGUI_LNC003347)". Lineage: Eukaryota; Viridiplantae; Streptophyta; Magnoliopsida; Arecales; Arecaceae. The record is from RNAcentral.